RNAcentral lists this ribosomal RNA (414 nucleotides) under Microbacterium sp. EB66. Its description in RNAcentral is "bacterial SSU rRNA". It matches the Rfam family "Bacterial small subunit ribosomal RNA", at positions 81 to 508 of the family's 1533-position model. Lineage: Bacteria; Bacillati; Actinomycetota; Actinomycetes; Micrococcales; Microbacteriaceae. The record is from RNAcentral.
GCUCUGGGGGAUUAGUGGCGAACGGGUGAGUAACACGUGAGCAACCUGCCCCUGACUCUGGGAUAAGCGCUGGAAACGGUGUCUAAUACUGGAUACGAGUAGUGAUCGCAUGGUCAGCUACUGGAAAGAUUUUUUGGUUGGGGAUGGGCUCGCGGCCUAUCAGCUUGUUGGUGAGGUAAUGGCUCACCAAGGCGUCGACGGGUAGCCGGCCUGAGAGGGUGACCGGCCACACUGGGACUGAGACACGGCCCAGACUCCUACGGGAGGCAGCAGUGGGGAAUAUUGCACAAUGGGCGGAAGCCUGAUGCAGCAACGCCGCGUGAGGGAUGACGGCCUUCGGGUUGUAAACCUCUUUUAGCAGGGAAGAAGCGAGAGUGACGGUACCUGCAGAAAAAGCGCCGGCUAACUACGUGC